RNAcentral lists this transfer RNA (71 nucleotides) under Pseudonocardiales bacterium. Its description in RNAcentral is "tRNA-Asn". It matches the Rfam family "tRNA". From Rfam's summary of the family: Transfer RNA (tRNA) molecules are approximately 80 nucleotides in length. Their secondary structure includes four short double-helical elements and three loops (D, anti-codon, and T loops). Lineage: Bacteria; Bacillati; Actinomycetota; Actinomycetes; Pseudonocardiales. The record is from RNAcentral.
UCCGGCGUCGCCUAACGGCAAGGCCCCUGGCUGUUACCCAGGUGAUCCGGGUUCGAGUCCCUGCGCCGGAG